Long non-coding RNA from Vidua macroura (Pin-tailed whydah), 326 nucleotides. RefSeq lists it as uncharacterized. Lineage: Eukaryota; Metazoa; Chordata; Aves; Passeriformes; Viduidae. The record is from RefSeq and is a predicted model, not a curated record. The transcript has 2 exons.
CCUAAUCAGGGAGGCGCCCCGCUGCCUUUUCAGCGGCCCUGGUGCAGGCUUUUCCUUCUCGGGCCCUUACCGACGAACCUAAAUUCGGUAUUAAGCAAAAGGGAUACCGGUAACCCCGCAAUCUUUGUGCACGAAGCCCGGGCGAAGACGCAGGACAGCAAACUGCAGUCAGAACCGCCGAGAAGGGAUGGACACAUGCGAGCCGAAUAAAGGGACCGAUUACUGCUGCUGCUGCCGAAGACCCCUGGAGAAUAACCAGCCAACCCGGAGAUCUUAAGGUCACAUUUAAACGGACUUAAUGGACUCAGUAAAAAUUGUACAAACCA